AACGAACGCUGGCGGCAGGCUUAACACAUGCAAGUCGAGCGCCCCGCAAGGGGAGCGGCAGACGGGUGAGUAACACGUGGGAAUCUACCCAUCCCUACGGAACAACUCCGGGAAACUGGAGCUAAUACCGUAUACGCCCUUUGGGGGAAAGAUUUAUCGGGGAUGGAUGAGCCCGCGUUGGAUUAGCUAGUUGGUGGGGGUAAGGGCCUACCAAGGCGACGAUCCAUAGCUGGUCUGAGAGGAUGAUCAGCCACAUUGGGACUGAGACACGGCCCAAACUCCUACGGGAGGCAGCAGUGGGGAAUAUUGGACAAUGGGCGCAAGCCUGAUCCAGCCAUGCCGCGUGAAUGAUGAAGGCCUUAGGGUUGUAAAGUUCUUCCACCGAUGAAGAUAAUGACGGUAGUCGGAGAAGAAGCCCCGGCUAACUUCGUGCCAGCCGCCGCGGUAA
RNAcentral lists this ribosomal RNA (448 nucleotides) under uncultured bacterium. RNAcentral describes it as "partial 16S ribosomal RNA". It matches the Rfam family "Bacterial small subunit ribosomal RNA", at positions 29 to 523 of the family's 1533-position model. The record is from RNAcentral.